This 90-nucleotide ribosomal RNA is filed under the name Pteropus alecto (black flying fox). The record is from RNAcentral. Lineage: Eukaryota; Metazoa; Chordata; Mammalia; Chiroptera; Pteropodidae.
GUAUACGGCCAUGCCCCCCUGAACAUGUUGGGUCGGGCCUGGUUAGUACUUGGAUGGGAGACCACCUAGAAAUACUAGGUGCUGUAGGCG